RNAcentral lists this long non-coding RNA (1388 nucleotides) under Pongo abelii (Sumatran orangutan). RNAcentral describes it as "lincRNA". Lineage: Eukaryota; Metazoa; Chordata; Mammalia; Primates; Hominidae. The record is from RNAcentral.
CUCCCGCGGCGCCGACCGGAGCUCCAGAGCCCCUCCCGUCUCUACCUGCUCGAGCUCCCGAAGUCGCCGCGCCUUAACGCGCCGUGUCGGGGCCGCAGGCGCCACUAGGGAAGCCCAGCUCCCCGCUGGAAGGACGCUCCGGACACUGCGAAUGAAUGACGACAACGCGGCUCACUUGGAGCGGGUCCGGGUUUGCGCGGACUCGGUACCACCGCGGGCUCUGCGCGCCGAGCUGAGCAGCUGUGGCUGGCUUCGGGGGAACCUUUGGGGGAAGCUCCUGGGGACCGUGUGCCAAGCACUGGGCCCGACGCCCAUCCCAGCAGGGAGGACGCCGCCAGCCUGCGUGGGUGCGUGUGUGCUGUUUGUGUUUAAGGUUGACGCUCUAUGGGAUAGCGCCACCCCUUUUCCCAGGAAAAGUGUUUCAAGGGUCCAGACCUGGAGCUCUGUUAGAGACCCGGGGUCGGAAGCCAACGCAGCCAAUGGUCGUCGAUGUUUUUGUUUCCUGCAUCCCCAGGGCAAGUCAUGCGCUAAACUUGUCACCGCUUGUGACCCCUCCCCCUCUCCAUUCUAUUGUAAUUAAAGUGGCCCAGCUAAGUGCAUUACAUCACUUCUUUCCUUGACCUGUAGGGCGUGAGCAAUAGAGAAGUUGGAAGCGGCCCAAAAGCUUAAACCAACUAAUUCACACCACAGCUGUUCCUAUAUCGCAUUUGGGGCUUCGAAAACGGCAUGGCAGAAUUUUAAAAUUUAUCCACGCUUGGUAGAUGGAUUUCUUUUUUUUAAUCAGUGAAACCAGAAACACACAAACCAGGGCAGCUUUAUCCCUAGACAGUUUCAGUUUCCCCAAAUACUUCGAGCUUCCAGUGGUGAUCACAGCCCAUCUGCCUACAUAUCUGAUGACCUUUUUUUUUUCAUCCCGCCCAGGAGAUCUGGAGGAUAGUUCAGCCAAAAAAAAAAAAAAAAAAAAAAAAGCCUCCUCUUCCCAAAUGAUGGGAAUUUAGCAGACUCUGCUUUGUUGUGGAUGCUGGGCAAUCCUAGGGACUUUUCCCUUUCCAAAUGAGCAAAGAUUCAAAUGAAACUUUCUUGUGUGGGCUUCAAAAUUGUGACUUUUGUAGCUCUGACUUGAAUUGUUGAAUUCCUUCAAUUAGUCGAAUGAGCAAAUCACCAGCCAUUCUAAUGAGACUGCCAUUUCAUCUGUUCACUUCCUACCCCUUGGGCUCUCAAGGAAUGGAAGUUUUCCUUGAUGUUACCACACAGACUGAUCUGCCUCUUCCAGGCAUCAGUGGAAACCUCAUAUAUUUAACACAGACUCAAAAAACUCAUUUGGCACUUUUGGUCACAGUGCAGUGCCUUCAGUCACAAAAUCUGCAAAUAAAAAGCAAACAAUAAGA